GAUGAACGCUGGCGGCGUGCUUAACACAUGCAAGUCGAACGGAAAGGCCCAACCUUGCUUGGGUACUCGAGUGGCGAACGGGUGAGUAACACGUGGGUGAUCUGCCCUGCACUUCGGGAUAAGCCUAGGAAACUGGGUCUAAUACCGGAUAGGACCACAUUUUGGAUGGUGUGGUGGAAAGUUUUUCGGUGGGGGGUGAGCUCGCGGCCUAUCAGCUUGUUGGUGGGGUAAUGGCCUAUCAAGGCGUCGACGGGUAGCCGGCCUGAGAGGGUGUACGGCCACAUUGGGACUGAGAUACGGCCCAGACUCCUACGGGAGGCAGCAGUGGGGAAUAUUGCACAAUGGGCGGAAGCCUGAUGCAGCGACGCCGCGUGGGGGAUGACGGCCUUCGGGUUGUAAACUCCUUUCGCUAGGGACGAAGCGUAAGUGACGGUAACGGGAGAAGAAGCACCGGCUAACUACGUG
This 465-nucleotide ribosomal RNA is filed under the name uncultured bacterium. RNAcentral describes it as "partial 16S ribosomal RNA". It matches the Rfam family "Bacterial small subunit ribosomal RNA", at positions 28 to 507 of the family's 1533-position model. The record is from RNAcentral.